Molecule: ribosomal RNA, 755 nt
Filed under: uncultured Nitrospira sp.
Lineage: Bacteria; Pseudomonadati; Nitrospirota; Nitrospiria; Nitrospirales; Nitrospiraceae
Description: bacterial SSU rRNA
Rfam family: Bacterial small subunit ribosomal RNA
Source: RNAcentral
AGAGUUUGAUCCUGGCUCAGAACGAACGCUGGCGGCAGGCUUAACACAUGCAAGUCGAACGCACCGCAAGGUGAGUGGCAGACGGGUGAGUAACGCGUGGGAACGUGCCCUUCAGUUCGGGAUAACCCAGGGAAACUUGGGCUAAUACCGGAUACGUGCGAGAGCAGAAAGAUUUAUCGCUGAAGGAUCGGCCCGCGUCUGAUUAGCUAGUUGGUAGGGUAAUGGCCUACCAAGGCGACGAUCAGUAGCUGGUCUGAGAGGAUGAUCAGCCACAUUGGGACUGAGACACGGCCCAAACUCCUACGGGAGGCAGCAGUGAGGAAUAUUGCGCAAUGGGCGACAGCCUGACGCAGCGACGCCGCGUGGGGGAUGAAGGUCUUCGGAUUGUAAACCCCUUUCGGGAGGGAAGAUGGGGCGGGCAACCGCCCGGACGGUACCUCCAGAAGCAGCCACGGCUAACUUCGUGCCAGCAGCCGCGGUAAUACGAAGGUGGCAAGCGUUGUUCGGAUUUACUGGGCGUAAAGGGAGCGUAGGCGGUUUGGUAAGCCCUCCGGGAAAUCUUCAGGCUUAACCUGAAAAGGUCGGGGGGGACUGCCUGGCUAGAGGACGGGAGAGGAGCGCGGAAUUCCCGGUGUAGCGGUGAAAUGCGUAGAGAUCGGGAGGAAGGCCGGUGGCGAAGGCGGCGCUCUGGAACGUUCCUGACGCUGAGGCUCGAAAGCGUGGGGAGCAAACAGGAUUAGAUACCCCGGUAGUCC